RNAcentral lists this unclassified non-coding RNA (306 nucleotides) under plant metagenome. RNAcentral describes it as "partial contains 5.8S ribosomal RNA, internal transcribed spacer 2, and large subunit ribosomal RNA". The stretch from base 1 to 105 matches the Rfam family "5.8S ribosomal RNA", at positions 50 to 154 of the family's 154-position model. The record is from RNAcentral.
GAAAUGCGAUAAGUAAUGUGAAUUGCAGAAUUCAGUGAAUCAUCGAAUCUUUGAACGCACAUUGCGCCCGCAAGUAUUCUGGCGGGCAUGCCUGUCCGAGCGUCAUUUCAACCAUCAAGCCCCCGGGCUUGUGUUGGGGACCUGCGGCUGCCCGCAGGCCCUGAAAACCAGUGGCGGGCUCGCUGUCACACCGAGCGUAGUAGCAAUCACCUCGCUCAGGGCGUGCUGCGGGUUCCGGCCGUUAAACAGCCUUACAAAACCCAAGGUUGACCUCGGAUCAGGUAGGAAGACCCGCUGAACUUAAGC